AAAAAAACAUGGCUUCAAGCAUCAACUGUCUGUAUUUUUUUAUUGCAAUUCUAUGCAUUGCUUCUGCUUUGAGUCUAGGAGAAGCAACAUAUUUUACAUACUGCUUUGGAAAAGGGCCAUGUCCAAAUAACACUCCAGCUUGUAGUGAUAUUUGUGUAAAAAUGGGGUAUCAAUAUGGUUUUUGUAAUACUUACACUGGUGCGUGUUGUUGUAGGGGGGGAUAAAUUAUACUUUCUCAAAGUGUUGGCACACGUUUACCAAUGUAUCAAGUCUAAAUUCGUGUAUAAAUACAUUGAUAUUUAGACUUACCAAUGUAUUUAGUCUAAAUUCAAUGUAUAAGUGUUGGCACACGUUUACCAAUUAAUCGUAAAAAUAGAAUUUGCUUAUAAUUAA
Molecule: long non-coding RNA, 393 nt
Organism: Trifolium pratense (red clover)
Lineage: Eukaryota; Viridiplantae; Streptophyta; Magnoliopsida; Fabales; Fabaceae
Exons: 2
Source: RefSeq, a predicted model, not a curated record